Molecule: long non-coding RNA, 317 nt
Filed under: Homo sapiens (human)
Lineage: Eukaryota; Metazoa; Chordata; Mammalia; Primates; Hominidae
Description: non-protein coding lnc-PPIAL4F-8:1
Source: RNAcentral
UGACAGUGCAGAAAAAGAAGGGUUUCAUAUGUGGAGUGUGAUGCAUGUCAAUGGGAGUUUCCUCCACCUGGUGACUCAGGUAUCCAGGCACAUUCAUCUCUGCGGGUCUGCCAUCUUGACACGAGGUCAUUGCAGAAGGAGAGAGGGUGUAGAGUCAUGCCAGUUCUUAGGUGCUCCUGACAAGGAGAUCUGCAGCACUCUGCUCACAUUCCUGUUUUCCAGAACUCAGCCAGUACCCAGUGCAACUGCCAAAGAGUCUUGGAGCCUCCCUUCUGCUCCCAGAGGCUUUUCUUGCUCAUGUCUCCAGCCACAAUAUC